GACGAACGCUGGCGGCGUGCUUAACACAUGCAAGUCGAACGGUGAUCCUUGGAGCUUGCUUCGGGGUGAGCAGUGGCGAACGGGUGAGUAACACGUGAGUAACCUGCCCCAGACUCUGGAAUAAGCGCUGGAAACGGCGUCUAAUACCGGAUACGACACGAUCGGGCAUCUGAAUCGUGUGGAAAGUUUUUCGGUCUGGGAUGGACUCGCGGCCUAUCAGCUUGUUGGUGAGGUAAUGGCUCACCAAGGCGAUGACGGGUAGCCGGCCUGAGAGGGCGACCGGCCACACUGGGACUGAGACACGGCCCAGACUCCUACGGGAGGCAGCAGUGGGGAAUAUUGCACAAUGGGCGAAAGCCUGAUGCAGCGACGCCGCGUGAGGGAUGACGGCCUUCGGGUUGUAAACCUCUUUCAGCAGGGAAGAAGCGCAAGUGACGGUACCUGCAGAAGAAGCACCGGCUAACUACGUGCCAGCCGCCGCCGUAAGAC
This 489-nucleotide ribosomal RNA is filed under the name uncultured bacterium. RNAcentral describes it as "bacterial SSU rRNA". It matches the Rfam family "Bacterial small subunit ribosomal RNA", at positions 28 to 526 of the family's 1533-position model. The record is from RNAcentral.